AGUUUUAUUGCAGAAAUUGGGCUAAACCUUAUAUUAAAGAUGCUAAAGAAGUUUCCAGGUAUAUUGAGAUGAUUUCUUUGGAGCAAUUCUUGACAACAUUUGUAGUUGAUGCCUUUAGAAUGGAAGAAUGUAUUUCACUAAUUUUUGUAUACAUUUCUUGUUUUGUAUUUAGUGAUAAAGGAAUCUGAAUUGGGCAUAAAUUAUGUUGUAAUAUGAUUUCUUAAGCCUAGAAUAGUAGACUAAAUAUUGUAAUUACAUUUGAGUAAUUAAUAAAAAUCUAUUUAUGUUACCUUAUUUGGCUUCAA
Humulus lupulus (European hop) is the source of this 305-nucleotide long non-coding RNA. RefSeq lists it as uncharacterized. Lineage: Eukaryota; Viridiplantae; Streptophyta; Magnoliopsida; Rosales; Cannabaceae. The record is from RefSeq and is a predicted model, not a curated record. The transcript is spliced from 2 exons.